This 73-nucleotide transfer RNA is filed under the name Armatimonadota bacterium. RNAcentral describes it as "tRNA-Ala". It matches the Rfam family "tRNA". Rfam says of the family: Transfer RNA (tRNA) molecules are approximately 80 nucleotides in length. Their secondary structure includes four short double-helical elements and three loops (D, anti-codon, and T loops). The record is from RNAcentral. Lineage: Bacteria; Bacillati; Armatimonadota. RNAcentral also lists the same sequence under 3 other names.
GGGGCUGUAGCGCAGUUGGGAGCGCGUCUCAAUGGCAUUGAGAAGGUCAGGGGUUCGAAUCCCCUCAGCUCCA